GAUUGAACGCUGGCGGUAUGCUUAACACAUGCAAGUCGAACGGAAACGAUACUAGCUUGCUAGUAGGCGUCGAGUGGCGGACGGGUGAGUAACGCGUAGGAAUCUGCCUGAUAGUGGGGGAUAGCCCGAAGAAAUUCGGAUUAAUACCGCAUAAUCUAUUCGUAGUAAAGUGGGGGACUUUCGAGCCUCACGCUAUCAGAUGAGCCUGCGUAAGAUUAGCUAGUUGGUAGGGUAAAAGCCUACCAAGGCAACGAUCUUUAGCUGGUCUGAGAGGAUGAUCAGCCACAUCGGGACUGAGACACGGCCCGAACUCCUACGGGAGGCAGCAGUGGGGAAUAUUGGACAAUGGGGGCAACCCUGAUCCAGCAAUACCGCGUGUGUGAAGAAGGCCUGAGGGUUGUAAAGCACUUUCAAUUGUGAAGAAAAGUUAACGGUUAAUAACCGUUAGCCUUGACGUUAACUUUAGAAGAAGCACCGGCUAACUCCGUGCCAGCAGCCGCGGUAAUACGGAGGGUGCAAGCGUUAAUCGGAAUUACUGGGCGUAAAGCGUGCGUAGGCGGUUUAUUAAGUCAGAUGUGAAAGCCCCGGGCUUAACCUGGGAACUGCAUUUGAAACUGGUCAACUAGAGUAUGGUAGAGGAAAGUGGAAUUUCUGGUGUAGCGGUGAAAUGCGUAGAUAUCAGAAGGAACAUCAAUGGCGAAGGCAGCUUUCUGGACCAAUACUGACGCUGAGGUACGAAAGCGUGGGUAGCAAACAGGAUUAGAUACCCUGGUAGUCCACGCCGUAAACGAUGAUAACUAGCCGUUGGGGGGAUUUACCCUUUAGUGGCGAAGCUAACGCGUUAAGUUAUCCGCCUGGGGAGUACGGCCGCAAGGUUAAAACUCAAAGGAAUUGACGGGGACCCGCACAAGCGGUGGAGCAUGUGGUUUAAUUCGAUGCAACGCGAAGAACCUUACCUGGUCUUGACAUCCUGCGAACUUUCUAGAAAUAGAUUGGUGCCUUCGGGAACGCAGUGACAGGUGCUGCAUGGCUGUCGUCAGCUCGUGUCGUGAGAUGUUGGGUUAAGUCCCGUAACGAGCGCAACCCCUAUCCUUAUUUGCCAGCACGUCAUGGUGGGAACUAUAAGGAGACUGCCGGUGAUAAACCGGAGGAAGGCGGGGACGACGUCAAGUCAUCAUGGCCCUUACGACCAGGGCUACACACGUGCUACAAUGGGAAGGACAAAGAGCCGCGAAGCCGCGAGGUGUAGCUAAUCUCAGAAACCUUUUCGUAGUCCGGAUUGGAGUCUGCAACUCGACUCCAUGAAGUCGGAAUCGCUAGUAAUCGUAGAUCAGAAUGCUACGGUGAAUACGUUCCCGGGUCUUGUACUCACCGC
Molecule: ribosomal RNA, 1375 nt
Filed under: uncultured bacterium
Lineage: Bacteria
Description: bacterial SSU rRNA
Rfam family: Bacterial small subunit ribosomal RNA
Source: RNAcentral